Molecule: ribosomal RNA, 245 nt
Filed under: uncultured bacterium
Lineage: Bacteria
Description: partial 16S ribosomal RNA
Rfam family: Bacterial small subunit ribosomal RNA
Source: RNAcentral
UAGGGAGCGAGCGUUGUCCGGAAUUACUGGGUGUAAAGGGAGCGUAGGCGGGACGGCAAGUCAGAUGUGAAAUAUAUGGGCUCAACCUGUAGACUGCAUUUGAAACUGCUGUUCUUGAGUGAAGUAGAGGUAAGCGGAAUUCCUAGUGUAGCGGUGAAAUGCGUAGAUAUUAGGAGGAACAUCGGUGGCGAAGGCGGCUUACUGGGCUUUUACUGACGCUGAGGCUCGAAAGCGUGGGGAGCAAA